Mauremys reevesii (Reeves's turtle) is the source of this 250-nucleotide long non-coding RNA. RefSeq lists it as uncharacterized. Lineage: Eukaryota; Metazoa; Chordata; Testudines; Geoemydidae. The record is from RefSeq and is a predicted model, not a curated record. The transcript has 3 exons.
GUAUUCUAAUGAGAUUUUUAAUUGAACUUUAUGGGUUCCCUUUGAGGACCACAGACCUCACAAUCAAUCUAAACUGCAGUAAACUAUUUGAAGUUUUUCUUGCAAAAGGGUGGAGGUUGAUGUCUAUUGAAGAGAACUGGAGGAAGGCACCAAGACAAGCCCUACACUUUUCUCCCCAGCAGCAGAAGGUUGCUUAGCAGUGGAAAUGGUGUAAUAUAAAAAGACAUGAUUUGAGGAGGCUGCAACUGGG